Long non-coding RNA from Canis lupus familiaris (dog), 419 nucleotides. RefSeq lists it as uncharacterized. Lineage: Eukaryota; Metazoa; Chordata; Mammalia; Carnivora; Canidae. The record is from RefSeq and is a predicted model, not a curated record. The transcript has 3 exons.
UUUAAAGACAUUUUCUGGAAUUUGCACACGUGCUACUUUGCCUUACAGUUCAUUGGCUAAAGCUUAGUCACAUGGCUAGACCUAGCCACAAAGGAGACUGGGAAAUGCAGUCUUUAUUCUAGGGAACCAUUUAAAAAUCAGAGCUUCUGUUACCAAGGGAGUAAAGAAUGGAUAUUGGGCUAAACAAUGAGCAAUUUCUGCUAUGGAUAUUAAAUAAUUUGCCCAGCGUUUUCCAGUUGAACUCUGUCUACAGAAGAUGUUGGUGACACCAGAGGGGAGAGGAGAGUCUUUGAAGCACAAAAUUUUUCAAUUUUGAUGAAAUCCAACCUAUAUUUUGCCUUUGGUCACCUGCGCUUUUGGUGGCACAGGUUUUAUAUAUUUAUUCAUGAGAGAGAGAGACAGAGAGAGAGGCAGAGACA